GACAGGUGUGGAUGGGGAGGCGCAGUAGAAGCAGUAGAAGCAGCAGCAGCAGCAGCAGCAGCAGUCGGGCGCACCGACCGAAGCAUGCUCCAGUGCAGCCAUGACUUGCUCGGCGUCAGAUAGCGAGAAGAUCGUGAUCAACUGCGGCGGGAUCCGACACGAGACCUACCGGAGCACCCUGAAGACGCUGCCGGGGACGCGCUUGUCUUGGCUGACCGAGCCCGACGCAUAUAGCAACUUCGACUACGACCCCAAGUCCGACGAGUUCUUCUUCGACCGCCACCCGGCCACCUUUGCCUUCAUCCUAAACUACUACCGCACCGGGAAGCUGCACUGCCCCAACGAUGUCUGCGGGCCGCUCUUCGAGGAAGAACUCGCCUUCUGGGGCAUUGAUGAGACGGACGUUGAGGCGUGUUGCUGGAUGAACUACCGGCAGCAUCGCGAUGCUGAGGAAGCCCUGGACAGCUUCGAGCAGCCGGAGCCGGAAGAACCCGAUAAUGAUCCUGCGCUCACCGGCGGGGCGGACGGUGACCUGAAGCGGCUCUGCAUGCAGGAGGACAGCCGCAGGGCAUCACGGUGGGAGGUGUGGCGGCCCUUUAUGUGGGCGCUGUUCGAGGACCCCUAUUCCUCAAAAUAUGCCCGGUAUGUGGCAUUUGGCUCACUCUUCUUCAUCCUCCUCUCCAUCUCAACCUUCUGCCUGGAGACCCACGAAGUCUUCAACACCAUCUACAACAAAACGGAGAAUGUCACCAUCGGCAACGUGACACAUGAAGAGAUAGUGUAUGAGGUGGUCACAGAUGGCUGGCUGACGUAUGUGGAGGGCGUCUGUGUUAUUUGGUUCACCAUUGAGGUGAUGAUGCGCGUCAUCUUCUGCCCUGACAAGGCAGAGUUCUUCCACAGCGCCCUGAACAUCAUAGACUUUGUGGCCAUUGUGCCCUUUUACCUGGAGGUGGCAUUGAGUGGCCUCUCCUCAAAAACAGCCAAAGACGUGCUGAGCUUCCUGCGUGUGGUGCGUUUUGUCCGUAUCCUGCGUAUAUUCAAGCUGACCCGCCACUUUGUUGGUUUACGGGUCCUGGGCCACACUCUGCGGGCGAGCACCAACGAGUUCCUACUGCUCAUCAUCUUCUUGGCGCUGGGCGUCCUCAUCUUUGCCACCAUGAUCUACUACGCUGAACGUAUUGGUGCCGACCCAGAUGAUCCAACGGCUGCGGCCCACACUGCCUUCAAGAACAUCCCCAUUGGCUUCUGGUGGGCUGUGGUGACCAUGACCACACUGGGCUAUGGAGAUAUGUACCCUGAGACAUGGUCGGGAAUGCUGGUGGGAGCCCUCUGCGCCUUGGCUGGUGUGCUGACCAUUGCCAUGCCUGUGCCCGUUAUUGUCAACAACUUCGGCAUGUAUUACUCCCUGGCCAUGGCCAAGCAGAAGCUCCCCAAGAAGAGGAACAAGCACAUCCCCCGAGCGCCACAGCCAGGCAGCCCUAACUACUGCAAGCCAGACGCCCUAGCCAUGGCAACCGCCUCUCCUCACAGGCUGAUGGGCAAUGUGCUCGGCCCAGGCAUGGUAGGAUCUGGCAGCAUGAUGGGUACUGGAGACUGCCCAUUGGCACAGGAGGAGAUCAUUGAGAUCAACAGGGCAGAUUCUAAGCAAAAUGGCGAGACAGCGGCAAACACAGCAGCUUUGGCCAAUGAGGACUGCCCUACCAUAGACCAGGUGCUUGGGGAUGACCGCAGCCCAGCCACCGGGGGCCUUGGCUCCACCACUAGUCGUGAGCGUUACCCGCAUGACCGGGCCUGCUUCCUGCUGAGCGCGGGGGAAUUUCAGCGCACAACGGAUGGGAACGUUCGGAAAGUAGGAGGCACCGUGAACGGCUACUGGAGCGACAGCCCGUGGUAAAAGACGAGCGGAUGACAAAGGCCACAUGGGAAGAAGAGCGAGAACAUGACAUCAGACACAGCAUGCAAACAUAGAAAUAUGCAAUGUAGAUAAGUGGGACAGCACCGGUCGGUUCUGUGCUCGGAUAUAAUGUAUCUGUGGCAUAUGUGAAGAGUGUGAUACGGAUAUUUGUGUUAUGUAUGUGUGUGUCUGUGUGCCCAGACCUCCAUCUACCUCUGUACUAAGAUGCACAAAUGUCAACUUGAAAAAAUGCAUCCUUUUUCUUUGCUUCUCCAAAAAGAAAUCAUUGUUUCAGUUUAGUUUUGAUAUUGAUUAUGAACAGUUAUCAUUCUGCCAAUCAAUUUUUUGUUGAUCUGAUUUUGAAUGUUGACCUUUUUGUUUCAAACUAGAGUUUCCUGAUGUUACUGAAAUGUGUAUGACUUCAGAACAAUGUCAGACUUUGUCAUUGUUGUGUAGACAGUGAUUUCAUGUCUGCUGGUUAAGUUUCAUGUAUGUUUAAAUCCCUUGUCGCUCUCACCUUCUUUCUCUCCCACGUAAAACUAACAGAGGGCCUUCAGCCGGCAGAGCAUCUUGGAUGUGAUUUGCAUGAGAAUAUCCUUGGAGAGGAACCACUUCAAGUUGCAGAGAAAGUUUGUCUCUUGGAUCCGACCCCCCAAAAAAAUAAGUUUUGAAAUUUAGCAAUGGAUUCCUUUUCAGAGGAAUGUUUUCGUGCUCUUAUUAAUCUUCUUGCUGUUUCUUUUUUACUUUCAAAGCUGGGAAUGCCGGAAGGUGAGAGCAACAAAUGUGGAGAUAAUUGUAUAUUUGAGGAUUAAGUUUGGCAUUUUGAGAAGUACAUUUAUUCAGUUUCUUGCCAAGAGUGUGUGGGAAAAAAGUCGAUAUCAGUUUUAUGUCACGCUAAAUUUGGAGCUGUAGCCUGAAAGUGAUUAGCCUAGCUUAAAUUUAGGACUCGAAGCAGGGGGAAUAGCUAACCUGGCUUUGUCCCAUAGCAAAACCAUUAAACUGACACGGGGGAGUCACAGCACCUGUUGCUGUUCAACCACGAGCUGGUUUCACAGUUUUUAUUAGUGUACAGAUUAAUAAGAUACAUUGUCUGCAGUGUUGGAAUUUAGAUGCUUCAUCUUGGGCUUACGUUAGGUGACCCCAUUGAAAAUACUGCUUUGAGUUUAAUGCUAACCUAAUUUAAUUUAUCACCACCUGGCUAUAGCUCUGAAUUCUUCCAAUUUCUACUCUCACUGUCAGUGAGAGAGAGUUUUCCCAGGCUAUACCGUGAACCGCAAGAGUCCCUGAUUUGGGGCCAUGCAGGGCUUCCUGUUUCCUGUUUAGCCUCGUGCUCGAGCAGAGCAUCACUUUCCGUUUUGCUUCAGAAGUGCAAAGUGCAAAUGAGUGAUUUUGAAGUUUAAAUAUACUAGAAGUUCCACAUCAGUUUCUUAGUAAAAUAAUAUCAUUUCAACCACCCCAUCAUAUUAGACAUGCACAACAGGCACACACAGACACAUACACCUGCACACAUUCAUACAUAGCUAAAAACACCCCCCUCCCCCGAGCUUUUUGAUCUAAAUCAUUUCUCACCAUCUCACCCUCUCCGUAUCUCCCUUUCCUUCCCAAUGUGCUUUUGUUGUGAGUCACUUUCCUUGCUGAUUGGUUGCUUUUGUGAUGAUGAUGUACAUAUGUAAAGUUUGCGUUGUAGAUGAAUAUGCAUGGGUUUCCAACGCAAGCAAUAAGGAUACUGAUAUGGCUAGUAAUGUGAGGAGGUUUGAUAGAACUUAAGUCUCAAGUUUAAUGAAUGUGUAUAUAACAUUUAGAUUACUAAGGGUGUGUGUGGAUGUAUGCGUUUCGAAGCAUACAUAUGCACUAACAAAGCAUGCAGGACAAAAAAAUCAUCUCUUUGGAUGCAAGAAGAGGUGGGAUUGGCCAACAUUAUGCAUGCCAAAAUGCUAUGAUGCUAUUGGUCGGAGCAGACCAAGUUAGGUACUGUAACAAGGCCGGGUGGGGUGGGAAAGUUUAUUUUUGCAGGAUGGGAAGGGGUUAUAUUUCUGAUAGGUCUUGUAUAGCUGCUUUCUUAUCGAUCUUGAGAGACUUAUAGAGAAACAUAUUAACAAUCGUAGCUUUUGAUUUAAUUUCUUUUCUUUUUUUGCUUCUCUAUUCACAGAGAACUGUUCUGAAAGCCCUGCGCUUGUCAGAUAUAUGCAAAAAGAAACAGUAACUGUGAACUAAUGCUAACAAAUGAAAAAAACAAACAAAUCCAGCUUCUUCCAUCACUGUCUCAACUCCUCUACUUCUCCUUCUCCUUCCGAUUCUUCUUCUUCUUCCUUUUUUUCUUUGAGAAGAAAGACUCUUCUCCACCCAAGAGAUCCCCCUCCAUUACUUUCAUUCACCUGCGACUUCAUUCUCUGCUCAUGACACAUUUCCAUCGGUCCUGUCAAAUGAACUGCAAGGAGCUUAAAAGGAUAUCUCUGCUGUACGAGAAUCCAACAAUUCAAUGCAACCUCCCCCGAGGGAUGAGAGUCCAUCCCAGUUUAACCUGACCCUAGUAGUACUCCCACAGGGGGCACAAAACCCUAUUACUUUGAAUAUCGGAAUACUGGGUUGUGUAACAUUUUCCCUGUAAACAACUUAUCGAACAAUUUUUAAUUGUCAUUAUAAUCCUGUUUGGAACGUUUCACGAUGUUAAAGUGAGUCCCAGGAAGAGAGAGUACUUACUGCUCAAUACUUUUCUAUACUAAACAUGGAACCCCUCCAUGAAAACAGUAAUUCAGUCCAACAUUCGGCUUCAGGCUUCUCUAUCAGUCAUGUAUUCUCAGACCUCAGCCCCAUAAUCACACGCUGUGGCUGUGGUGAUUGCUGGUGAUUGCUAACCCUAACCCUCAUGAACUUAUUUCCUAGGUAGCAGCCAAUUAUGCUUUUAGAAACACCUUUAAAUUAAGAUUGACCUGACCCUCCCAUUAAAACUACAACCACCUAUAGUGCAACACUGGGAACACAUGUUACACCAGUACGCUCCAUUCAAUUUGAUUGGUUGUGAAAAAAGGUAAGAUAAAGCUUUCUGAAGGCCUAAUUGAUCAGGGUUUCUGGGCUAUGUCUACUAGUAUUGGAUGAUAUUAAAAUUAGGUGGCUGAACCAUUUUUGUGAGGUUGGUGAUCAAUAUGACUCCAGUUAAGCUAUGAUGACAUCGCUCUUUAAAAUGGUUGAGAACGUACACUAUUCCACAGCAAGCUUUUCUACUAUGUGCAGAGGGUCAGGCUUUAAAUCUCUCACCUCCCAAAAUGUCUCAGACCAGUUAGACGCUUCAAAAAUAUAAGAUGCACAAAAUGGAUUGCCCCCACAAGGCCUUUGACGAGGUUGCACUGAAUUCCCAAAGUUCCACACUGCAGAGGUACCCUACACAUGUUACAUUCUGGGGAAUUUCUUUUAUAAUUAAAAAUACUGCUAGUUCUCAAAUGUUGCCCCUUGUUGCCAAAGUUUGUCUCCCUUCCAUCCAUUCACAACUCAGGUAUCUCUUUCUCAAUCUCUCCCUUUGUGCCCCAGUGUUCAUGUUCAGCCACGUUUCCUCAGAGAUAUACUGUACGUAGAUCUUCCCUCUCUUGUCUGUGCCUACCAUGUGCUCUGUUUUGUGCCCAUUCCCCUUCAGCUGUACUAUAUUGCUUUCUUUGUCCAAAUGUGCUUCCUGUCUCCCCCUUGUGUCGUCCAGUCGUCUUUUCACCCGUUCUCAAUAUCUGCGUCCCUAUUUCUGUGAAACUGUAUCCCUGCAACACGCAGAGAGGAAUUGAAACAUCUUUGCCCCUGGUAAAAAAAAAUAUGAAUACACUGGCAUAACUGGAUUUCACCAGGAAGAGAGAUAGGAAUGGACUUUAAAAGAUUGUUGUAGAUUGGGAGGAGGGGAAAAAAGAAUGUGCUAUAAACGUGAUGUGUUCUGAGUGGACUGUCAGCCAAGCAGCGUCAGAGGGAGGAGAUGGAGGAGGAAAAGUUUGGGGAAGACAGAAAAGUUUGGUGAUGGUGAUGAUGAUGAGGAGGAGGAGGAGGAAGAAAGAAAGAAGCAAAAAUCACUUCUCCAUUGCUGAGUUUCUAACACUCCCUCCUCCCCUCCACAUGAGAAGAGGAAAACGUUGAGUUUUAUGCCACUGCUCCUCCAUCUCGCCUGAUGGAACUCACUGUUGAAAAUGGGAGAGAGACAGAGAGAAAGAGAACAAAAAAAGAAAAAAGAACACAAGAGGUUGAAAUCAUCAUAGUCGCUGACUGAAAUAUUUUUCAUCUGUGUGACACAUUCAUAUGCAACCUGGAGACAUUUUAACAUGGAAGUGACUGGUAAUCACGGCGCACCACGGUCUGGAUGCUCCCAGCUCAGCAGCAAGAGGAUUUGGAAACCAUGUGACAAGGACACCCUCCAUUUCCCAGUUGUGUUAUUCCUUUGACUGACUCCCCUUUAUUUCCAGAAGCUGCAUGCACAGCUAUUGAUUUCCAGCGAAUGCUCCUUAAUUUUGGCGCUCAAAGCACUAUGCAAGGUGAGGGGCGGUCCAUCAUGAUGUCGAACGGCUCCAGCAGAGUCUGAUCCAGUAUUGCUGCUCGGCUACAGAGGUCGGGCUGCCCUGCUAAUCUCUGCUGAACCACAGGACCUCUACCAGCCGGUGGGAAUCUGCUCAUACAUAUCAGAAAACAUCAGCCAUAUCAUAUGUAUAUUCGACGUAAAUCCUAUCUAUUUGACAGCAUCUGAAUCAUCUGAGAGACUGUUGGCAGCUUCGGACUUAAACACGAACACUGGGAUCUCCGUAAACCCUUGAGGAAUCACUUUUAGUCCACCUUGAGAUGGAAUUUAACCCAAAGACAGACACAAGGAUGGACAAACUAUUGGGGUGAACAGAAGCCCUAAAAGACAUGAAACUGGCCAUACCAUCUGCUUUUAAAGAAGCAGGUGUCAAUGGAAAUGAAGAUGUGAUGUGAUUGAGCCUCUUUCUCACUCUCUCUUUCCCUCUCAAGACUUUAAGGUAUCUUGACCUCCUCCUCCUGCAUCGCUGCAUCGCUGCUGCUGCUGCUGCCCUUCUUAAGCAAAUCUGCAUGGCAUGAAUGAAACCAAUUAAAACCAGAAGAAAGACAGUCAAAGACACAAUGGAUGGAUUAUAUAAGUGGAGCAGGAGUCCAUGAGAAAAAAUGGGAGAGAGACUGUCAAUUUCUUUUUUUCCCCCCAUCUAGCAAUGCCAAUGCAACGUCAUUAUCAUCACCAUGAAUUACUAUUAAACCCCAAAACUGGAUGCUAAAAUGUGGGCAAAACAGCAUCUCCUGCAGCAAACCGCUCUCUCUGACGGCAUGAUGGAAGAGGAGGAGCUGCCUCCUCCUCUGAGAGAACCAGGGAGUGGGGGAGGAGAUUCUGCAGACCAUACACUCAAUACCUCUGGGAAUGGGGCGAGGAGAUACAGGCUUUUAAAGAAAAGCAGAUAUUCAGCAGCAGCGGGAGAACAUCUUUGAGAAACUAUUCUAUGGACCAAAAAAAAAAAAAAAAACAUGGUGACGAUUGCAAAUUAGAAAUGCAUUUUUAUGACAUUGUUUACCAGCAUGAAUAUUCUGCAUGAC
RNA transcript from Platichthys flesus (European flounder), 7456 nucleotides. It is a transcript of the gene named potassium voltage-gated channel subfamily C member 1-like, with no coding region annotated. The transcript has 6 exons. The record is from RefSeq and is a predicted model, not a curated record. NCBI's taxonomy places the organism in Eukaryota, Metazoa, Chordata, Actinopteri, Pleuronectiformes, Pleuronectidae.